GCUACAGGUGUGGCCCUAAAAGGACAAAAAAAGACAAAAAGACAAAAAAAGAAAUUUGUUCUUCAUUUAUGUUAUUUCUACCAAUUAGUUAUAGGCAAGGAAAAAUUGUACAUGUUCUGUCAUCUUUAUCCAAAAACCCUAUGAAAUUUUGUUUAGAAUUCUGUCAGACUUUAAAUGUGGAUAGUUCCAAUGAAAGAUCUUGUUUGAUUAUUUUAUUCUGAGGAAAAAGAUGCAAACUGGAGGAGCUGAAAGAAGAGGAUAGAAUCACUUCACAGUGGAAAAUCCUGGGUGAAGAAGACCAGAGUAAAAACGGCAGAUAACAAUAGACUACCAUAAGUUAAUCAAGAAGAAGCCCUGAUUGCUCUUGCUAUGCCUCACAUGGUAUCUUUAUUAACAUAAUUAACAUAUGGUCUUGGGUAAGUGGUAAAACUAUUGUUCUGAAAGAUGCUAUCAUUUCAAUACCCAUCUGGAUGGAGUAUCAGAAAUAACUUACAUUUAUAUGAGAUUGACAAUAGUCUUGUCCCAAGGCUACAUUCAUUCUCUUGCUCCCUGUCAUAAUGUAGUACAAAAGAACCUGGAUGGCCUGGACAUUCCAAGGCUGUGACUUAUAUCUUCAACAAAUAGCCAUUAUAUACUAUUAGAUGCCCUGUCCCCACUAGGUAGAAUACAAGAAGUGCAUGUAGGAGUGGCCUAUUUUACCGUCACUCCCAGUGACUCACUUGGCUGUGAAGUUCACGUCUCCUGACCCCACAAACAUCAACAUUGUUGUCCUAGAGGUCUUGGGUUCUGCCAGGGGACACAAGUAGGAGUUCCACAAACACACAGCUAUAGCUUCCUCUCUACGGAAACGAGUUUCAAUAGAUCACAGAGCACAGAAAGAAGUUACUGAUGGUCCCUGGAUAUCAUAAGGAGGAAAGGGGUUUGGAGAAAUAUGUUUAGUACCUAGGUAGUCUACUGGGCAUCUCUUAUUAUUCCUAUGCCCAGUUUUAACUGUAAAUGAGUAAAUAAAGGAAGUGUAGCCCCACCAGAGCAGAGUAACCAGGCAGAGCACUUACCCCCACAAAAGUGCUGUACAAGAGAAAGAAAUCUUGAGUGUGUGUUAGAGAAGGGGGGUAAUGAAUAUCAGGUAGGCUGCAGAACCCGUACCUGAGGUAGCACCUUUAGCUCAUCCCUCAAAUCUUUCUUUAAUAAGUUUUCUCAGAAUAUAACCAACCAGACUCUUGGAAGGAGAAAGAAGUGGAUAUGAGUGGUAUUAGGAGUAAAUUACAAGGGUUUUUCCAUGCACUACCCAAAUCCCUAUCAAGGAUCAUUUUACUUAUCUACCAGAUCAGUGGUGUGCAGGUAAAAUGGCUACCUGGAAAAAAAAAAAAAAAGAAAGAAA
Molecule: non-coding RNA, 1381 nt
Organism: Sus scrofa (pig)
Lineage: Eukaryota; Metazoa; Chordata; Mammalia; Artiodactyla; Suidae
Source: RefSeq, a predicted model, not a curated record